This 217-nucleotide unclassified non-coding RNA is filed under the name Gigasporaceae sp. RNAcentral describes it as "partial contains 5.8S ribosomal RNA and internal transcribed spacer 2". The stretch from base 1 to 71 matches the Rfam family "5.8S ribosomal RNA", at positions 84 to 154 of the family's 154-position model. Lineage: Eukaryota; Fungi; Glomeromycota; Glomeromycetes; Diversisporales; Gigasporaceae. The record is from RNAcentral.
GUGAAUCAUCAAAUUUUUGAACGCAAAUUGCACUUCUUGGUAUUCCGAGGAGUACACAUGCUUGAGGGUCAGUUAAAAAAAAAUCGUACAUCUUUGAGGUUGCGGAUCUGAGUAUUCGGAUUUUAUUAAUCGGUUACUUAAAAUUAUUUAUAUGUAAUGUGAAGUGUAGUAAUAAUAGUCGUUAAUAAUUAUACUUAUAAAAUUAAAACUAAGAAUU